Molecule: transfer RNA, 74 nt
Filed under: Anadara kagoshimensis
Lineage: Eukaryota; Metazoa; Mollusca; Bivalvia; Arcoida; Arcidae
Description: tRNA-Ile
Source: RNAcentral
UUGGUGCUGAUCCAAUAAAUUGGGCUGAGUUGAUGUCUUAGAUUAAGGGGAUUUUUAUAUCCCUCAGUGCCUAA